UGGGGAAUAUUGCACAAUGGGCGAAAGCCUGAUGCAGCAACGCCGCGUGAGUGAUGAAGGUCUUCGGAUUGUAAAGCUCUGUCUUUUGGGACGAUAAUGACGGUACCAAAGGAGGAAGCCACGGCUAACUACGUGCCAGCAGCCGCGGUAAUACGUAGGUGGCGAGCGUUGUCCGGAUUUACUGGGCGUAAAGGGUGCGUAGGCGGAUGUUUAAGUGAGAUGUGAAAUACCCGGGCUUAACUUGGGUGCUGCAUUUCAAACUGGAUAUCUAGAGUGCAGGAGAGGAGAAUGGAAUUCCUAGUGUAGCGGUGAAAUGCGUAGAGAUUAGGAAGAACACCAGUGGCGAAGGCGAUUCUCUGGACUGUAACUGACGCUGAGGCACGAAAGCGUGGGUAGCAAACAGGAUUAGAUACCCUGGUAGUCCACGCCGUAAAACGAUGAGUACUAGGUGUAGGAGGUAUCGACCCCUUCUGUGCCGCAGUAAAACACAUUAAGUACUCCGCCUGGGAAGUACGAUCGCAA
Molecule: ribosomal RNA, 522 nt
Filed under: uncultured bacterium
Lineage: Bacteria
Description: partial 16S ribosomal RNA
Rfam family: Bacterial small subunit ribosomal RNA
Source: RNAcentral